UACGUAGGGGGCGAGCGUUGUCCGGAAUUACUGGGCGUAAAGCGUGCGUAGGCGGCUCGUUAAGUCUGAUGUGAAAGCCCUGGGCUCAACCUGGGAAUGGCAUUGGAAACUGGCGGCCUAGAGUGCGGUAGAGGGUAGUGGAAUUCCCGGUGUAGCAGUGAAAUGCGCAGAUAUCAGGAGGAACACCGGUGGCGAAGGCGGGUCUCUGGGCCGAUACUGACGCUGAGGAGCGAAAGCGUGGGGAGCGAACAGG
Molecule: ribosomal RNA, 253 nt
Filed under: uncultured bacterium
Lineage: Bacteria
Description: partial 16S ribosomal RNA
Rfam family: Bacterial small subunit ribosomal RNA
Source: RNAcentral